GUAUAUGUGCUAUGAGUAGAAGACAAACAACCAGUUCAGUCGUUGCAUGUAUUUAAGUAUGUAAGUAAUGUUUAUA
Molecule: long non-coding RNA, 76 nt
Organism: Etheostoma spectabile (orangethroat darter)
Lineage: Eukaryota; Metazoa; Chordata; Actinopteri; Perciformes; Percidae
Exons: 3
Source: RefSeq, a predicted model, not a curated record